GAUGAACGUUGGCGGCGUGCCUAAUACAUGCAAGUCGAGCGAACAGACGAGGAGCUUGCUCCUCUGACGUUAGCGGCGGACGGGUGAGUAACACGUGGAUAACCUACCUAUAAGACUGGGAUAACUUCGGGAAACCGGAGCUAAUACCGGAUAAUAUAUUGAACCGCAUGGUUCAAUAGUGAAAGACGGUUUUGCUGUCACUUAUAGAUGGAUCCGCGCCGCAUUAGCUAGUUGGUAAGGUAACGGCUUACCAAGGCAACGAUGCGUAGCCGACCUGAGAGGGUGAUCGGCCACACUGGAACUGAGACACGGUCCAGACUCCUACGGGAGGCAGCAGUAGGGAAUCUUCCGCAAUGGGCGAAAGCCUGACGGAGCAACGCCGCGUGAAUGAUGAAGGUCUUCGGAUCGUAAAACUCUGUUAUUAGGGAAGAACAAAUGUGUAAGUAACUAUGCACGUCUUGACGGUACCUAAUCAGAAAGCCACGGCUAACUACGUG
Molecule: ribosomal RNA, 497 nt
Filed under: uncultured bacterium
Lineage: Bacteria
Description: partial 16S ribosomal RNA
Rfam family: Bacterial small subunit ribosomal RNA
Source: RNAcentral